This 26-nucleotide non-coding RNA is filed under the name Mus musculus (house mouse). Lineage: Eukaryota; Metazoa; Chordata; Mammalia; Rodentia; Muridae. RNAcentral also lists the same sequence under 1 other name. The record is from RNAcentral.
UGAAGGACACAACUUUAGACUAAGGU